Molecule: ribosomal RNA, 253 nt
Filed under: uncultured bacterium
Lineage: Bacteria
Description: partial 16S ribosomal RNA
Rfam family: Bacterial small subunit ribosomal RNA
Source: RNAcentral
GACAGAGGAUGCAAGCGUUAUCCGGAAUGAUUGGGCGUAAAGCGUCUGUAGGUGGCUUUUUAAGUCCGCCGUCAAAUCCCAGGGCUCAACCCUGGACAGGCGGUGGAAACUACCAAGCUGGAGUACGGUAGGGGCAGAGGGAAUUUCCGGUGGAGCGGUGAAAUGUGUAGAUAUUGGAAAGACCACCGAUGGCGAAGGCAGGUCUCUGGGCAUUAACUGACGCUGAGGAGCGAAAGCAUGGGGAGCGAACAGG